GAUGAACGCUAGCGGCAGGCCUAACACAUGCAAGUCGAGGGGUAGAAGGAGCUUGCUCCUUUGAGACCGGCGCACGGGUGCGUAACGCGUAUGCAAUCUACCUUGUACAGGGGAAUAGCCCAGAGAAAUUUGGAUUAAUGCCCCAUAGUAUAUAACCUUCGCAUGUUGGUUAUAUUAAAGUUCCAACGGUACAAGAUGAGCAUGCGUCCCAUUAGUUAGUUGGUAAGGUAACGGCUUACCAAGACGAUGAUGGGUAGGGGUCCUGAGAGGGAGAUCCCCCACACUGGUACUGAGACACGGACCAGACUCCUACGGGAGGCAGCAGUGAGGAAGAUUGGUCAAUGGUCGAAAGACUGAACCAGCCAUGCCGCGUGCAGGAAGACGGUCCUAGGGAUUGUAAACUGCUUUUAUACAGGAAGAAACCCUCCCACGUGUGGGAGCUUGACGGUACUGUAGGAAUAAGGAUCGGCUAACUCCGUG
This 480-nucleotide ribosomal RNA is filed under the name uncultured bacterium. RNAcentral describes it as "partial 16S ribosomal RNA". It matches the Rfam family "Bacterial small subunit ribosomal RNA", at positions 28 to 507 of the family's 1533-position model. The record is from RNAcentral.